RNAcentral lists this ribosomal RNA (532 nucleotides) under uncultured bacterium. RNAcentral describes it as "bacterial SSU rRNA". It matches the Rfam family "Bacterial small subunit ribosomal RNA", at positions 777 to 1313 of the family's 1533-position model. The record is from RNAcentral.
AAUAGAUACCCUGGUAGUCCACGCCCUAAACGAUGAUAACUCGAUGUUGGCGAUACACAGUCAGCGUCCAAGCGAAAGCGUUAAGUUAUCCACCUGGGGAGUACGCCCGCAAGGGUGAAACUCAAAGGAAUUGACGGGGGCCCGCACAAGCGGAGGAGCAUGUGGUUUAAUUCGAUGAUACGCGAGGAACCUUACCCGGGCUUGAAAGUUACUGAAGGAUCCAGAGACGGAUCCGUCCUUCGGGACAGGAAACUAGGUGCUGCAUGGCUGUCGUCAGCUCGUGCCGUGAGGUGUUGGGUUAAGUCCCGCAACGAGCGCAACCCUAUGUUUAGUUGCCAGCAUGUAGUGGUGGGGACGUCUAAACAGACUGCCUGCGUAAGCAGUGAGGAAGGUGGGGACGACGUCAAGUCAUCAUGGCCCUUACGUCCGGGGCUACACACGUGCUACAAUGGACGGUACAGCGGGCAGCUACACAGCAAUGUGAUGCCAAUCUCGAAAAGCCGUUNACAGUUCGGAUCGGGGUCUGCUAACC